Molecule: transfer RNA, 64 nt
Filed under: Platerodrilini gen. sp. UPOL VP0009
Lineage: Eukaryota; Metazoa; Arthropoda; Insecta; Coleoptera; Lycidae
Also listed under: 1 other name
Description: tRNA-Phe
Source: RNAcentral
UAUUUUAAUAGCUUAUUUAGAGUAUAAUGUUGAAGAUAUUAGUGUAGAUUUAUCUUUAAAAUAU